This 492-nucleotide ribosomal RNA is filed under the name uncultured bacterium. RNAcentral describes it as "partial 16S ribosomal RNA". It matches the Rfam family "Bacterial small subunit ribosomal RNA", at positions 29 to 507 of the family's 1533-position model. The record is from RNAcentral.
AGUGAACGCUGGCGGUAGGCCUAACACAUGCAAGUCGAACGGCAGCACAGUAAGAGCUUGCUCUUACGGGUGGCGAGUGGCGGACGGGUGAGGAAUACAUCGGAAUCUACUUUUUCGUGGGGGAUAACGUAGGGAAACUUACGCUAAUACCGCAUACGACCUACGGGUGGAAGCAGGGGAUCUUCGGACCUUGCGCGAUUGAAUGAGCCGAUGUCGGAUUAGCUAGUUGGCGGGGUAAAGGCCCACCAAGGCGACGAUCCGUAGCUGGUCUGAGAGGAUGAUCAGCCACACUGGAACUUAGACACGGUCCAGACUCCUACGGGAGGCAGCAGUGGGGAAUAUUGGACAAUGGGCGCAAGCCUGAUCCAGCCAUACCGCGUGGGUGAAGAAGGCCUUCGGGUUGUAAAGCCCUUUUGUUGGGAAAGAAAAGCAGCAGGUUAAGACCCCGCUGUUCUGACGGUACCCAAAGAAUAAGCACCGGCUAACUUCGUG